RNAcentral lists this non-coding RNA (30 nucleotides) under Bombyx mori (domestic silkworm). The record is from RNAcentral. Lineage: Eukaryota; Metazoa; Arthropoda; Insecta; Lepidoptera; Bombycidae.
UGAAAGGGAGCAAAUGAACUCUGCGGAGAA